Molecule: ribosomal RNA, 702 nt
Filed under: uncultured Bacteroidales bacterium
Lineage: Bacteria; Pseudomonadati; Bacteroidota; Bacteroidia; Bacteroidales
Description: bacterial SSU rRNA
Rfam family: Bacterial small subunit ribosomal RNA
Source: RNAcentral
UCGAGGGGCAGCAUUUUAGUUUGCUUGCAAACUAAAGAUGGCGACCGGCGCACGGGUGAGUAACACGUAUCCAACCUGCCGUCUACUCUUGGACAGCCUUCUGAAAGGAAGAUUAAUACAAGAUGGCAUCAUGAGUCCGCAUGUUCACAUGAUUAAAGGUAUUCCGGUAGACGAUGGGGAUGCGUUCCAUUAGAUAGUAGGCGGGGUAACGGCCCACCUAGUCUUCGAUGGAUAGGGGUUCUGAGAGGAAGGUCCCCCACAUUGGAACUGAGACACGGUCCAAACUCCUACGGGAGGCAGCAGUGAGGAAUAUUGGUCAAUGGGCGAGAGCCUGAACCAGCCAAGUAGCGUGAAGGAUGACUGCCCUAUGGGUUGUAAACUUCUUUUAUAAAGGAAUAAAGUCGGGUAUGGAUACCCGUUUGCAUGUACUUUAUGAAUAAGGAUCGGCUAACUCCGUGCCAGCAGCCGCGGUAAUACGGAGGAUCCGAGCGUUAUCCGGAUUUAUUGGGUUUAAAGGGAGCGUAGAUGGAUGUUUAAGUCAGUUGUGAAAGUUUGCGGCUCAACCGUAAAAUUGCAGUUGAUACUGGAUAUCUUGAGUGCAGUUGAGGCAGGCGGAAUUCGUGGUGUAGCGGUGAAAUGCUUAGAUAUCACGAAGACUCCGAUUGCGAAGGCAGCUCACUAGACUGUCACUGACACUGAUGC